GAUGAACGCUAGCGACAGGCUUAACACAUGCAAGUCGAGGGGCAGCAUAAAAGUAGCAAUACUUUGGUGGCGACCGGCGCACGGGUGAGUAACGCGUAUGCAACCUACCUAUCAGAGGGGGAUAACCCGGCGAAAGUCGGACUAAUACCGCAUAAAACAGGGGCACCGCAUGGUGAUAUUUGUUAAAGAUUAAUUGCUGAUAGAUGGGCAUGCGUUCCAUUAGGUAGUUGGUGAGGUAAUGGCUCACCAAGCCGACGAUGGAUAGGGGAACUGAGAGGGUUGUCCCCCACACUGGUACUGAGACACGGACCAGACUCCUACGGGAGGCAGCAGUGAGGAAUAUUGGUCAAUGGGCGCAAGCCUGAACCAGCCAUCCCGCGUGAAGGAAGAAUGCGCUACGCGUUGUAAACUUCUUUUCCAGGGGGAGAAUAAUCCUGUCGUGACAGGACUUGACGGUACUCUGGGAAUAAGCAUCGGCUAACUCCGUGCCAGCA
Molecule: ribosomal RNA, 494 nt
Filed under: uncultured bacterium
Lineage: Bacteria
Description: bacterial SSU rRNA
Rfam family: Bacterial small subunit ribosomal RNA
Source: RNAcentral